Molecule: ribosomal RNA, 733 nt
Filed under: Salmonella enterica
Lineage: Bacteria; Pseudomonadati; Pseudomonadota; Gammaproteobacteria; Enterobacterales; Enterobacteriaceae
Description: partial 23S ribosomal RNA
Rfam family: Bacterial large subunit ribosomal RNA
Source: RNAcentral
UACCACCCUUUAAUGUUUGAUGUUCUAACGUGGACCCGUGAUCCGGGUUGCGGACAGUGUCUGGUGGGUAGUUUGACUGGGGCGGUCUCCUCCUAAAGAGUAACGGAGGAGCACGAAGGUUGGCUAAUCCUGGUCGGACAUCAGGAGGUUAGUGCAAUGGCAUAAGCCAGCUUGACUGCGAGCGUGACGGCGCGAGCAGGUGCGAAAGCAGGUCAUAGUGAUCCGGUGGUUCUGAAUGGAAGGGCCAUCGCUCAACGGAUAAAAGGUACUCCGGGGAUAACAGGCUGAUACCGCCCAAGAGUUCAUAUCGACGGCGGUGUUUGGCACCUCGAUGUCGGCUCAUCACAUCCUGGGGCUGAAGUAGGUCCCAAGGGUAUGGCUGUUCGCCAUUUAAAGUGGUACGCGAGCUGGGUUUAGAACGUCGUGAGACAGUUCGGUCCCUAUCUGCCGUGGGCGCUGGAGAACUGAGGGGGGCUGCUCCUAGUACGAGAGGACCGGAGUGGACGCAUCACUGGUGUUCGGGUUGUCAUGCCAAUGGCACUGCCCGGUAGCUAAAUGCGGAAGAGAUAAGUGCUGAAAGCAUCUAAGCACGAAACUUGCCCCGAGAUGAGUUCUCCCUGAGACUUUAGGUCUCCUGAAGGAACGUUGAAGACGACGACGUUGAUAGGCCGGGUGUGUAAGCGCAGCGAUGCGUUGAGCUAACCGGUACUAAUGAACCGUGAGGCUUAACCUU